AGGUUGUCCGUGAUGUAUUUGCUU
RNAcentral lists this microRNA (24 nucleotides) under Cervus elaphus (red deer). Its description in RNAcentral is "cel-miR-3958-5p". The record is from RNAcentral. Lineage: Eukaryota; Metazoa; Chordata; Mammalia; Artiodactyla; Cervidae.